This 79-nucleotide transfer RNA is filed under the name Chloroleucon tenuiflorum. RNAcentral describes it as "partial tRNA-His". RNAcentral also lists the same sequence under 1 other name. The record is from RNAcentral. Lineage: Eukaryota; Viridiplantae; Streptophyta; Magnoliopsida; Fabales; Fabaceae.
AUGGAAAUCUCUGUAAUUUUUAGAUAGUAUAGGGGCGGAUGUAGCCAAGUGGAUCAAGGCAGUGGAUUGUGAAUCACCA